AUGCUCAAGUUCCUGUCGAGGGUGGUGGUGGAGUACAACCCUUUGGACCCGCGCAAGGCGGCGGCCGUGGAGCUCCUCGCGCAGUGCAACGGCCGCAAGGCCAAGGACUCCAACCCCACCUGCUCCGUCGAGCUGCGGCGCCUGCCCUCCCCGGCCGCGGCCGACGACCCCAAGGCCCAGCCGCCCCCGCGCGUCCUCGUCACCUACCUCAACGGCGCCGAGGAGGCCUUCGUCGCCGCCGACGGCGCCACGGCGCAGGGCAUGCGCGAGCAGAUCCUCGCCCGCGGCCGCCUCCUCGAGACCGAGCAGCUCUUCCGCGAGGCCGGGGAGAAGUGGCCCGUCGUCAUCCCCGAGGAGGAGCUCGGCAUGUCGUUCCCUGGGAUCAAGCCAAAGAAAGCCGAGGAGAAGCCCCAGGCUGCCUGA
RNAcentral lists this ribosomal RNA (423 nucleotides) under Triticum aestivum (bread wheat). RNAcentral's name for it is "partial small subunit ribosomal RNA". The record is from RNAcentral. Lineage: Eukaryota; Viridiplantae; Streptophyta; Magnoliopsida; Poales; Poaceae.